AGUGAACGCUGGCGGUAGGCCUAAUGCAUGCAAGUCGAACGGCAGCACAGUAAGAGCUUGCUCUUACGGGUGGCGAGUGGCGGACGGGUGAGGAAUACAUCGGAAUCUACUUUUUCGUGGGGGAUAACGUAGGGAAACUUACGCUAAUACCGCAUACGACCUACGGGUGAAAGCAGGGGAUCUUCGGACCUUGCGCGAUUGAAUGAGCCGAUGUCGGAUUAGCUAGUUGGCGGGGUAAAGGCCCACCAAGGCGACGAUCCGUAGCUGGUCUGAGAGGAUGAUCAGCCACACUGGAACUGAGACACGGUCCAGACUCCUACGGGAGGCAGCAGUGGGGAAUAUUGGACAAUGGGCGCAAGCCUGAUCCAGCCAUACCGCGUGGGUGAAGAAGGCCUUCGGGUUGUAAAGCCCUUUUGUUGGGAAAGAAAAGCAGCAGGUUAAUACCCCGCUGUUCUGACGGUACCCAAAGAAUAAGCACCGGCUAACUUCGUG
RNAcentral lists this ribosomal RNA (492 nucleotides) under uncultured bacterium. RNAcentral's name for it is "partial 16S ribosomal RNA". It matches the Rfam family "Bacterial small subunit ribosomal RNA", at positions 29 to 507 of the family's 1533-position model. The record is from RNAcentral.